Molecule: long non-coding RNA, 754 nt
Organism: Carassius auratus (goldfish)
Lineage: Eukaryota; Metazoa; Chordata; Actinopteri; Cypriniformes; Cyprinidae
Exons: 4
Source: RefSeq, a predicted model, not a curated record
UUUUUACCCUAACGUAACAUUUGUUUCAAAUGUUGUGUUCAAUCUGUACGAUGUGUACUGGAUAUAUUAUUUGCAGUCCUCUGCUAUUCUAAUAUUGAUAUGUGCUCUUCUGUAAAGUUGCAGGAAGAUUUUGGAGACCAUAGCAGUCCUGUGCAACACUGGAUAUGAGUGUGCAAUAUACCAUCUAAAGGAACCGGCGAGUCAGAAUGUCUGAGAAGAUCAAGUGUGCUUCACCACUGAUGAUGAUGAGCUGGAUACCAGCUUAUGUGCUAAUUUCUUUCAAGGACGGGACCAGAUGUGUUUGGAGUUGAAGACAAUGCUGAAGACCAAAGAAGCAACGGAAGAAGAACAUUUAAGCACUGAGGGUGUCCAGCCUGUUUGCCAUGUCAGAUCCAGCGGCUAGAUGGCGGGAGAUGCUUCAUUAUACCCCUGAUUGCACUGAAUCAUUAGAUGAUCAAUUAAUUAAUUUUAAUAUAUAUUUUUAAAUUAUCUUAUUAUAUUAAAUAAUUGGUCUCAGUUACUAUUUCAUAUAUUAGUUUGAAUAAUAAUGUUUUUAUAAUGUGUACGCCAUGCCCGAGGAGGAUGGGUUCCCCCUGAUGAGUCUGGUUCCUCUCAAGGUUUUUUAUCUCCUUAAGAGUUUUUUCCUUGCCACCGUCGCCACUGGCUUGCUCACUGGGGGUGUUGUGUCAAAUCCUGUGUCCCUCUCGCGUCCCUGCCGACCAGGGUUUCCAAAACAACAGUUUGCGACUCAAUU